RNAcentral lists this ribosomal RNA (403 nucleotides) under uncultured bacterium. RNAcentral describes it as "bacterial SSU rRNA". It matches the Rfam family "Bacterial small subunit ribosomal RNA", at positions 355 to 775 of the family's 1533-position model. The record is from RNAcentral.
UGGGGAAUCUUGCACAAUGGGGGAAACCCUGAUGCAGCGACGCCGCGUGAGCGAUGAAGCCCUUCGGGGUGUAAAGCUCUUUCGGCAGGGAAGAUUAUGACGGUACCUGCAGAAGCAGCUGCGGCUAACUACGUGCCAGCAGCCGCGGUAAUACGUAGGCAGCAAGCGUUGUUCGGAGUUACUGGGCGUAAAGGGUGUGUAGGCGGUUGGAUAAGAGUGGUGUGAAAUCUCCCGGCUUAACUGGGAGGGUGCGCUACAGACUGUCUGACUAGAGUGUGGGAUGGGAGAGUGGAAUUCCUGGUGUAGCGGUGAAAUGCGUAGAUAUCAGGAGGAACACCGGUGGUGUAGACGGCUCUCUGGACCAUAACUGACGCUGAGACACGAAAGCGUGGGUAGCAAACAG